CAGGCGCACAAAGGAGGGCGCGGGGUUGGGGGCGUGGAGGCCGCUGGGUCAGGUGACUUAGGGGGCGGCUGAGGCGCUGCGGUGGCGGGCAGGACUAGCGUGGAGGCUCCACGGCGCGGACGCUGCUGCGCCGACAGGGAAGAGUAGGCGUCGGCGGCGGCCGUGGCGGCCUUGGCGGGCUGCAGAGAUGAAGACGUGGCGGCCCCUCGGGCGGCUGGAGCGGCAGCACUCGGAGGGGAGCACAGGGCGGCGGCGCUGCGGCAGCGGGCAGGACCGCCCUGGACGCUCCCCGGCGCGCACCGGCAGGAGGCGGCGCACCGUGAGUUGCUGUCAAGACAGUCAUUUAAGAAGGCUGAAGAAAAAUUGGAAAAGUUUGAACUAGAAGAGAAGGAAAGAGGGUAUAGUUUGAAGUGGAGACAAGGUCGACAGAAGAUGGUCCCUGGCCAGGUGAAAACCUCCUCAGAACUUUUUAGUAAGUCUGAGAAAGAAGACACUGAGAUUCCUAAUAGCCAUGGAAGAG
This is a long non-coding RNA of Lemur catta (Ring-tailed lemur), 520 nucleotides long. RefSeq lists it as uncharacterized. The transcript has 3 exons. The record is from RefSeq and is a predicted model, not a curated record. Lineage: Eukaryota; Metazoa; Chordata; Mammalia; Primates; Lemuridae.